UCGGGCGGCCACAGCGGCAAGGACACACCCGUACCCAUCCCGAACACGGAAGUUAAGCUUGCCAGCGUUCCGGCAAGUCCUGGAGUGCGAGAGCCUCUGGAAACACCAGUUCGCCGCCCACC
RNAcentral lists this ribosomal RNA (122 nucleotides) under Halobaculum gomorrense. The record is from RNAcentral. Lineage: Archaea; Methanobacteriati; Methanobacteriota; Halobacteria; Halobacteriales; Haloferacaceae.